AUGCAUGCAUCAAUGCAAGCCCAUUCUACUGCUUCUACGACCUCUAACCCCCCACCACCGAUGAAUCCGCAGCCACCAGCACCGGAGCCCUUGCCCCCUUCACCCGUGAGAGCUCCUCCUCUGCCUGCGGCUAAGGAGCAAAAGGCUGGAAGAGUAGGGGCGCCCAAGCAGCCGAAGCCACGGCUAAGGAUCUAAUAAGAGAGAUAUGAGUAUGGAAGAGAAGCAAAAACUUGGAAUUGGGUUGCAGAGUUUGCCUCAGGAGAAAAUGCCUCAAUUGGUUCAGAUCAUCAGGAAGAGGAAUGAGCAUUUGGCUCAGGAUGGCGAUGAAAUUGAGCUUGAUAUUGAGGCCCUUGAUACGGAGACGCUGUGGGAACUGGAUCGAUUUGUGACCAAUUGGAAGAAGACGGUGAGCAAGACUAAGCGGCAAGCGUUGAUGAUGAACAACAAUCCAGCCGCUGGAGUUUCUAUUCCCACCAGUCCUGCUACCGAUGCUGAUGUGGUAUGGUUUAUUUGCUCGAUCAUCCUUUUAUGUGGUAUUUUUUUUUACCAGUUUUGACAAUCUUGGUUUUGUUGGUAUUCACUUAUGCUGAUGCUAAUGUUGUGUAGGGCGCAAUGAGUGACAAAAAUGAUGAUUCGGGCAAGAAGAUUAAAGAAAAUGAGGAAGAAGAUGUAGAUAUUGAUGAUGAUAUGCCAGCAGCGAGCUUCCCUCCUGUUGAAAUUGAGAUUGAGAAAGAUGAAGGGGUAGGUGGUGGUGUUGUCGUGGGCCGGGAUCAUGAUCAGGAGGAUAAUGGUCGAGGCAAUGCCAGCAGUAGCUCGAGCAGUUCUGGCAGCUCAAGUAGCGAUUCGUCAUCCUCGAGUGGUAUUGAUACUGAUUCUUCUUGCGUUUCUACAUUGUGUUGAGGGAGUAGUAAGGAAAAUGAGGGGAUUUCCACAGAAACGCUCAUUCGUUUGAGCUUGCUUUUUACAGAUUCUGAUUCAGGGAGUUCAUCUGGUAGUGAGUCGGACGCAGAUGAUGCACAGUCUUGACAACUGUUUGAGCAAAUCAGCAAAUGAAUUGAGAGCUCAGGUGGGCAUUUGGCUGCUGUGAUAAACGAGCAUAUUUGUUCAUAAGGUAUUGUAUCAGUUUCUCGUCAUUUUAGUAUUCUACUCUACUUGGGCUGUUGGCUGAAUAUUUGAAUUGAAUUUGCAGAAUGGCAAAUGAGGUGCUUUUGGGAAUUGUUUGUUGUUGUAGUUGCCGGAUCAAAGAUUAAUCAUCGCUUGGAUGCAGUAGCCAGCUUAAGCUUUAGGUGAAGAAUAGAAAUUGUUAAAAGCGUGUAGAUAGUUUGGUUAGGUUAAUUUUGUACAGCAGCUUUAGUGGGAAUUUCUCCCCUGUUAAAGAAAGCUAUUAUUUCGCUUGUGUUGUGCCUUGCCUUGCCAUAUUUCGAUUUGGUCGACUAUAAUUCCGUUAAAUCUGUUUCGGAGCGGGAUAGUCUUUUCUUCAAAUUGGUCGGCCUCACUCAAAAUUUAUGUUCUGUAAUCAUGUGAUUUGGUUGUCUAGGUGGUGGGGGAUAUUGUUUAAUCUAAAAUGACGCUUUUUUUGGGGGGCUACAAUGACACUUUCAUUGCAACACUCAUUUGUAAAAUGACAUGCCCUUUUAGCUAGUUUCUAUGGAUAGGGUGAGCUAAGAUGUAUAUUCAAUAUUCAUUAUAAUUGCGAAUCAGAAUAUGAGAAUAUAUCAUUAUAAUUGUGACGCAGAAUAAAUCAAACAAGCAUCGACAUAUCUGAAUACAAAUAAAGUGAUGGCAGUAACACAACAUAUGAAUAAAAAACGGGAUAACAUAUGUGGUGAAACGGGAGAGGACAAGCUGAGAAUGUGCAGUUUCUUCUAUUCGUGCAAGAUAAGUAUAUAUCCAUUCCAAACAUUCCCUCAUCAACCCCAACCACUGCCUCAGAUUCAUCUGUCAACACUUUACACUGAAUUCAGCCUCAUCAGAUUCUUCAAGACCAAGAAGAGCAUCUUCACUAGCUGUAUUGUGUCCAGUGUCCACAAGUACAACCAUCAGUUCAGGCGCACCAUCCCCAUCAGGUUAAUCUGCUCCUGAGGAUUCGAGAUCCGAAGAGACAAGCUUUUUAAUGACACAUGAUCAAAGAAUUUUCCAGGGCCAAGUAUGAUUUGAAGCAGUAGUUAGUUGGAUAAGUAAAUAUCUCAGAGCAUGUAAUUUACUUGCGUCCGUGGUAGCACAAUUAAGUUCCUAUAACAACAAAAAUUGUACUCCUAAUAAACAGUUCUCUGAAGAACCUUGAGCAUGAUCUUAGCAAGCAAAGCCAAGAUUAAGUCAUUAAAACUAAUUUUAGUGGAGGUCAAUAAAGCUUCCAAAGUUCAAGUCAUUGGUCGAAAUGAGCAAUUUUGCAAAUAAUUCUACUACAAAUAUAAGAAAUCUGGAGAUAAGAUUGAUCAAAUUAUAACCAUCUUAUAAAAAGCAGAGAAGUUAGUUUCUAAUACUCCAAAAAGUCACUUUCCCAUCUUCACACAUUAUGUAAAUGUAUUUUAUGUACUUGGAAUAUUUAAAUUACAUAAAAGAUUUCACACUAGACCUAUUUACUCAUAGAAAAUAAAAGGAUUGUUAAUUGCAAAGAUUAUUAAAUAGGGGUAGAUUAAAGAGAGAAUAUAUAUUGCACAUUUAAUAAGUAAACUAUGAUUUUGGAACAGUUAAAAGACGAACAAGGGACUACAUGGGAUGUAGGGCGUAACAUAGAUUGAAAGGGAGUACCUCUUUUGAUAGUUGACUUUCCAUGGCCUGCGGUUUCUUGAAUGCUUUCUCAUCAUUGCUAUUCAAAGCCCUUGUGACACAGAUACUGAAAGAAUGUUGUAUAAUAUACCCAAAAACCGCAUAAAGUAGGAUCAAGAUCCUUUGCCUCUACACCACUUGCCACAGUUUUAAGCCCCUCCUCCUUUUUGUGCAUUUGCUAGCAACAACUGAAGCUGCUCAAUACACAUAUGGGCCAAAACACUAGGAAUUGCAGAUUUUGGCCAUCUAAACUUUUCUUGUAGUUCAAAAGAUGUUACUUCAGUUCCGAGUGAUGAUGAGAAUAGUCCUUGGACUGCCAGAAAACUUUCAGAACUUCUUUCUACACACGGAAUUUGGCAGCAUCUUGGUCAAGCUUUAAAUGCUUUUGAACAGCAGGAAGGGAUUCCACGACCCAACUUUAAGGAAUUCAGUAGUCCCCAGUGUCCCAGAAGAUCUUUAUCCUCAAUAGAUCCGAUCUGAGAAUUGUCUCAGUAGUUUGAUUCUGAUCUGAAGACUUCUCACAAGCAACAACACAUCAAAUCCCAACUUUUGCUAUCAUGAGAUGAGGUUAAAAGGGACCCUUCAAUUAUUAUUUCACAGAAGCAGAGCAGAUUUUUUUUUUUCAUAUCUUCGUCAGCAGAGUUACUUUUAUGACUUAUUUUGUGCUUCUUGCUCGAAAUUAGACCUGAUGCUGAAUCGCUAUGUAUGACAGAAGGUAGACUCCUGCAAUAUCCAAGACAUGUAGAUCAGCAAAGACUUGAAAUACUACUUAAUCAGUGAUAAAAUCUUUAAGAAAACAUAUAUGAGUAGUACCUUCAGGCAACUGGCAAUAGUAGAUAAAUAAUCAGCAGCAAAAAGGGCACUUUUGCUGUAGGGGGAAGGCAAUAGUUUAUUGAAAUUAUGGUCAAUAGAAAGUUUUUCACGUAUUUAAGAGCUAAAAGUAAGGCGUCAGGAUUUCAAGCUUCAGUUGCUCCUUCAAACCACUCUUGUAGACAUGGUGCUUCAAGGAGAUGCUUCAGCUGUGCGUCCGCAGGCAACUAAACCAAGACACAAAUACAGGGCAAUAUUUAGUCAAGGGUAGGAAACCCAUAAGUGAACAAUCCUGAGAAGAUAUGACACUGAUGAAGGCUUAUAAGUUAUAACUAAUACAUAAAGUGGUUUCAUGUAAAUUGAUGAAGAUAUGCAAGUUAUGUCCCAGCAUAAUCUAAUAAAGUAAUUAGAGAAGAAUAAAUCUUAAGGAUUACUACUGUGAGCAUAAUCUUGUUUAUAACUUAAAAAGAAUGAAAAAAAGGACCUAAAAGUCUAACUUAGUCCUCAUGACCACCAGAAUGUAUAUCAACUGUAUGCUCAAAAUAUACAAAAUAAUAAUCUUGUUCAUAACUUAAAAAGAAUGAAAAAAAGUACCUAAAAGUCUUUAACUUAGUCCUCAUGACCACCAGAAUGUAUAUCAAGUUAACUGUAUGCUCAAAAUAUACAAAAUAAUAAUGUGCAGGUAAUACGAAGGAUUACCUUUCCCAAUAUCUCCAAUAAAACAGCAACAGCAGGCUCUUGUAAGUACCAUUUUUUAGCUGCAAUAUCAAUAAGAGACAUUUGGUAAAUUCUUUGACGAGUGCACUAUUAUUAUCUGAUAUCCAUUCUUCAGUAAGCUUUCCCGAUCUUGCAAGAGCUCCAUAUGCAAAUAAACGGACCAGUAUGCGGUCUUUAACCUCCCAUGGAUAAAAAGGUUCCACAUACAUAAAAUAUAAAUCUCAGUUACUGACUUCACCUCCAGCAAAGUUGUAAUUAGCUUUAACAAGGACACUAAUUUAAUGCUUCGAACCAUGCUAACUAACAUUGUAAGACCUAGUGCAAACCCUUGUCUUGAACACUGCAACAUAAGAGUAUAGAAAAAGCUAAGAACAUCUAAGCAAUGUAUCCAAUCAAAUUUGAACCUUAAAGAACAGACGUAGUACGAUAUGUCGAUAACGAAGCAAUGCACACAAGAUGUCAAUACCAUAUAGGAUGCUUAUAAGAUAUCAUAUCUGAAGAGGUGAAGCCUAAAUAUACGAACACAAAAUCUUCAUUGGGCCAUAUGAAACAUGUCUUUUCGUUCAUAACUAAGUUAAAGUACCAAUAAAGUAACUCUCCAAGAACUUUCUUGGCAACUUUCUCUGCAUAUACGGAUAUGGUCUGAUUGGGGUUUCUAGUGCUAGUUGAAUAUGAAACAUUAAUAAGCAAAAAAACAAUUAGAAAUUUUCAAAUCUCCAAGUCCCAAACCUGCUACCAAUAAUUAUAGUUAAGUCUGCAUCAAAUCAAAAGGUUUUAGAGUCUUAGACAAUUGAUAUAACACCUUUUACGGCCAACUGAAAGCACAAAACAAAAGAAUAAAUGAUGGCUUAUCUGACAUAAGUAUGUUCACGAUAAUGCUCUUACUAUUACUAGGUAAUCUUAACCCAUCAACGCUCACAUUUUCAAUAUUCAUAACCGCACUAAUGAGUAUUUGGUUAAAUACGUCACACAUCCUAGUCUUUGAUAAAUUGUUAAAUGGCAGAAAAUCAAUCGAGGAGAAAACCAAAAAACAAUAUAUGGGAUGGAAAAAUGAUUCAACUUUUAACAUGAAGUUUUGUGCACUAUUUAAUAUGCCAAAACCAGAAACAACAAACAUCAGAUACCAAAGGAGGAAGCCACAUACAAUGUAACAAUAUUCAACCAUCCAGAAAAUUCAUUGACAAUUAUAGAGAAGAUCCGUGUGCAAUAGAAAUAAGAAGCACACCUCUCUCGAUGAGGAGACACCACGAAUAAGCCUCCGCACAGCAUACCUCACAGAGGGAGCACAGUUAUUCAACCCAUCAUCCUUCUCGGCUUCGAGGUUUGACUUAUCCUCUACCUCAUCCUUAUUCUCCAACUUAUCACACGCAUUCUGAACUUCCCUCAGCUCCACAACCAAGGUCUUAGCAGCCGCUUUCCUCACACUCGCAUCCGCAGCUCCCAGUUCCUUAAACACUCCAAUGUGGCAACACUCCGCACCACCACUACUCGUUCCACCACAUAAAGAUCAAAGGCAAAAGGAAAGCAGCAAGCGAAAGAGCGGGAUCGAAACAUGAAGAAAACGUGUUUUGCAGCUGUAGAAAAAAACGUGAGACACAAUCAGAGUAUGACGAGAUUAGAUACACAAUUAGUUGAGCUGGAGUGAGUUAGGCAGCUAAAACUGAGUCAGAAUUGAACAAUUGCGGUUUAGCUCAGAUCUGAGAAACGGUUCUCGAUUUAUCCAAUCCAAUCUUCAUACCUUGUAUCCUUUCGAAACUUGUGCAGGUUUGUCGUGAGUAAGCUAAUGCCGCCGUGGGAGAAUGGUUUUGGGUUGCCGGAGAAGUGGAGUCGCGGAUGAGAUGGUGAAAAUUGGUAUCCACUAUCCAGAGCACAUCGAUCCAACCAAGCCGCAUAUGCAACUGAGAAUUUAGAAGCGCAAUUGAGAGUCAAUUGACUCAGGGCCGCUCUGGACCCAUAUAUACAGGUUACCUUCCUAUUUAUAUUUAUUGAUUGGAAUUUAUGUAAUAAUUAAAACCAAAUUACAUUAUUCUUUUUUUAGACAAAUAUAAUACCUUAAAACCAAAUUACAUUAUUCUUUUUAUUUUAUAGUAAUAAAUUAUUUAUUUUUUAACAUUUAUAUGUAAACUUUUUGGCCUAUUAAAUUGAGAUUAAAGAAAGUUGUAAUUAUAUACUAGUACUAGAAUAAAAUGAAGCACGACGCAGAAGACAAGAGUUGUGGGAAGAGGCAGUUGUAUUAAUUGCAAGGGCAGUAUGGUAAAUUGAAAGAAAGUCGGCUUUGAUCUGGUUGUGGUGAGAUCCUCCUGAUACGUCACGUGCCAAAGCGAGUUUUCUUCACAUUCACGUCGUUAAUUUCCACGUCACCCGUUUGAGGGGGAGCCCACACAAACCCUAAAAAUUGCCACAUACUACCAAUUUCACCUCAUACCCAAACGCCUUGACAUCCUUCCAAUUCUACUCCAUCAAACGACCAGGAACCCGCCACGUGUCCCAACAGCCCCAUCGCGGCCGUCCGUGGCAGAUGUCACGGUCAACUCCCAGCCAGCAAACAAAUUCACUCUUGCCGUUGGAUUUCCGUCACCUAGCUAAUACACGGCUAUGAUGCUGCCCGAAAUAUAAGCGGGCAGAUCUCAUUGCCUUUAAGAGGCACGCCCUCUCCUUCUAAUUUCUUCGCUCAAACCCUAAAUAUCUCUACACCGUCGUAAAAUUGGUGUCUAGUUUAAUUCCUUGUUUCUUUUCCCCCAAAAUUUUAGCCAAAUUUUUAAUCUAAUAUAGCCCCGUGCUGCCGCAGAUCGUUCGGCGAAGGGGUUUUCGCGGCGGAGAGGAGAUUCUGGCUGUUCGAUACAUGAUUUUUGGGGGAAAGUGCUGCCGGAGGCUCGACGGAGCUGAGCGCUGCCGACGGUGUGAUUCAUGGCGUCCGCCGUUCUAGCGAGUCAGAAUGAGUCGAGCUGGGCCCACAUGGGAAAGACGCAGUACGUGAAUCCCCACCUCAAUUCAAACCCUCAUCCUAACCCUAAGAAGAAGCAGAAGCAAUUCCACCCAUCUGUGGCCAACGGUGUCGCCGGUCGUUACCGCAGCAGCAACAACAACUUCGAUUCACCGGCCGUCACGCAGACGGCGUCCGAUGAUGCCUAUUCUUUCAACCAGACGCCCGCCCCGCGUAACGUGGGGAACUAUGGCGGUCUUCUGACCUUCAACGUUGCUAUGUACACGAAAUCCGAGCUCCUGGAUCUCCGGAAACGCCUCUUUGCCGAACUCGAUCAGAUCCGUGAUUUGCGAGACCGGAUUGAGUCUGGUCGAUUCAACAUUGGCGAAACUCCUAGAUCUCAACCGAAAUCAAAGAAGUUUAGUGGCAGUAAACGGCCUGGCCCUGCGAUUGGAUCCGCCCCCAAGAAAUUGAACGAUGGAUAUGACAAUGGCAGUUUGGAGGCGGUUAAUUUUGGGGAUUUGUUGAAAGAAUGCGAGAAGAUUGUUGGUAAAUUGAUCAAACACAAAAAAUUUGGGUAUGUUUUCAGAGCACCUGUGGAUGCUGUUGCGUUCGGCCUUCUCGAUUAUCAUCAGAUUGUGAAGCAUCCCAUGGAUCUGGGUACUGUCAAAGCGAAUCUGGCGAAAAAUGUGUAUCGGACGCCUGUGGAUUUUGCUGCCGACGUGAGGUUGACCUUUAACAAUGCGUUGCUGUACAACCCUAAGACCGAUCCUGUUAACUCGAUGGCUGAGCAAAUGUUGGCACUGUUCGAGGAAAUGUUCAAGCCGGUGCAGGAGAAGUACAAUAUUGAGCUCGACAGGCGGCGUGAGAAGGAUCCCCGCGAGUUCAAAAUCAACAAUGACUUGCCGUUCCGGGAGGUUGAGGAAUUGCAGGGGAGCUCUUGGAACAAUGGUUGUCAGGUUCUGGCUGCAAAGAAGUCGAAGCCGAAAGCUAGCCAUGUUCCUGUCUCCCACAUUAUGAAGAAGUCUGAUAGAAUGCAUGCAUCAAUGCAAGCCCAUUCUACUGCUUCUACGACCUCUAACCCCCCACCACCGAUGAAUCCGCAGCCACCAGCACCGGAGCCCUUGCCCCCUUCACCCGUGAGAGCUCCUCCUCUGCCUGCGGCUAAGGAGCAAAAGGCUGGAAGAGUAGGGGCGCCCAAGCAGCCGAAGCCACGGGCUAAGGAUCUUAAUAAGAGAGAUAUGAGUAUGGAAGAGAAGCAAAAACUUGGAAUUGGGUUGCAGAGUUUGCCUCAGGAG
Molecule: long non-coding RNA, 8517 nt
Filed under: Salvia miltiorrhiza (redroot sage)
Lineage: Eukaryota; Viridiplantae; Streptophyta; Magnoliopsida; Lamiales; Lamiaceae
Description: long non-coding RNA (SMIL_LNC000652)
Source: RNAcentral